Molecule: long non-coding RNA, 511 nt
Organism: Gossypium arboreum
Lineage: Eukaryota; Viridiplantae; Streptophyta; Magnoliopsida; Malvales; Malvaceae
Exons: 2
Source: RefSeq, a predicted model, not a curated record
UGAAUACCAUUCUUUGCCCCACCCUCUGAAUUGUCCAUUCAAAGCAGGGUAGGAAUGCUGAAAGAUUUCUAUUUCAUUUUUGCCUUCAUUUUUUCAUCCUAGUCCUUUUUGUACUUUCAACUAUAGCCCACACAUUCACUCCCUUCUCCAUUUCCAAAGCCCUAAACACCAUUGCUCCUCACCAACUUCUUUAAUCAUUCCCAACAACCAAAUCUUUAAUCCUUCCAACUCUAAUUCAAUAUCAUCAAUUUUUUGUUUUAUAACUUCCCUUGUAGGCUUCAAUUUUCUGUUACUAAGAAAUUACAGAAUUGUGUUGGUCUAAUGGCGAACAUUUGUAUUAUGUUGUUUCCGUUGAGGUGAUUUGGUUGUUUUUAUUGCUUGAAUUAUAUUAGUAAUAGCUAAUUUGAUUGUAGACUAUCUCCUUAUUAAUGAGAAUUUUAUAUUUAGUGUGGAUGGUCAUAUAUGUGCCGCAUGCAUAUAUGUGCUUGACACAGAUAUCUAUUCUGUGAAA